Non-coding RNA from Pelobates cultripes (western spadefoot toad), 274 nucleotides. Lineage: Eukaryota; Metazoa; Chordata; Amphibia; Anura; Pelobatidae. The record is from the annotation of a GenBank genome assembly.
GUUAAAUAUUGAACAUCCUGGCCCCGAGGAUGCAGACCGAUAUGUAAUGGGAAUGUAUUGGACGAAAGGUUCCUACAACAAAUUAGGUCAUUUCUACCUCAGAGAUAUGUACCACUCUCCAGAGUGGCAAGGGGCUGAUCAUAUGGUCAAAUCCGCUAAAACCACAUAUCCAGUCCUUUAAAGAUAUGAUGGCCAUCGCUAAUCCCACUUUGAAGAUACCAUGGCCGCUGAAACUGGAUUCAAUGACAUUAAUUUGUGGUUAGAAUGGAUGAGG